Non-coding RNA from Phalacrocorax carbo (great cormorant), 435 nucleotides. Lineage: Eukaryota; Metazoa; Chordata; Aves; Suliformes; Phalacrocoracidae. The record is from RefSeq and is a predicted model, not a curated record.
UUCUUUUGCUAGCCAGUAUGUCACAAGUGAAGAGAUGGCCCAGGCCAAGUAUUUUUCUUUAAUGGGAUGUACAUGUUGCUGGCUGAAGUUCUGCUGUUCAUAUGGUCAGCCUGGACAUGCAUUGCUCUUAUAACUGACCAUGCUUGGACACCCAUGGAGCAGAUACAGUCUCCCGAAGAAACACCUGGAUGCAAAUCUGGAUCCUGAUACCAUGCCCACGUCGUACCGGGUGCAGGUGUAAGGACGAGGUGUGGUUGCCCCUGCUGGCCCCCACGGAGAUGCUGCUGUACAGAGUAGAAGGGACGUGGGCUCCAGGCUGGGACUGGAAUACACGGCUCCCAUUUAACUCGGAGCACAUGGUCACUGGGGUAUAUGCAGGAAAUCAAAUGGUACUGAAAAAAUGCAUUUGUGUUAAAUAAAAAUGCUAGCACUUAA